CUGAAAAAGAGGCCAAUGCAUCUACUCAACUAUACUAAGCUCAACUAAGCAAAGUGAAAUGCCCUAGUGACUAGUCCUUUGGUCUAUAUUACAGGGUCUAGCAAAUGUUCAUUUCAAUUCUCGCUUCUCUGUAAACAUUAGUACUAAAGUACUGAGUACCUUUCCUUGUUUGUUACUGAUAAUACUUACAUGUUAUUCAAUUGAUAAUACUUACAUUUUAAUCUACUUCUACGUGUGAUUUUCAUUGUGUUGGGUAUUUAUAACGUCAAAACUCCAAGACAUACCUUAAACAUGGCAACACUAAAUGUAACC
This is a non-coding RNA of Pelobates cultripes (western spadefoot toad), 312 nucleotides long. The record is from the annotation of a GenBank genome assembly. NCBI's taxonomy places the organism in Eukaryota, Metazoa, Chordata, Amphibia, Anura, Pelobatidae.